RNAcentral lists this ribosomal RNA (470 nucleotides) under Asteroschema ajax. Its description in RNAcentral is "partial 16S ribosomal RNA". It matches the Rfam family "Bacterial large subunit ribosomal RNA", at positions 1856 to 2597 of the family's 2925-position model. Lineage: Eukaryota; Metazoa; Echinodermata; Ophiuroidea; Euryalida; Asteroschematidae. The record is from RNAcentral.
UGCCUGCCCGGUGAUUUUUUAAAAUUAAACGGCUGCGGUAUUCUGACCGUGCAAAGGUAGCAUAAUCAUUAGCCUGCUAAUUUCAGGCUGGAAUCAAUGGCAAGACGAAGAAAAAGCUGUCUCUUUACAUUUUAUUUGAAUUUUUCGUUUUGGUUAAGAGACCAAAAUAGUUUAGUGGGACGAGAAGACCCUAUUGAGCUUUAAGUUUUUAUUAGAGGUGUAUUUUAAUAUUAAGUUUUGGUUGGGGCAACGGUUUUUUUAAUUAGACAAAGAGAAUAAAGGAUGAAUUAAUUCUUGUUUUGACCCAAGUAACAUAUUUUGGUAAAUAGAAAAAGUUACCAUAGGGAUAACAGCGUAAUUCUUUUUGAGAGUACCUAUUGACAAAAGAGUUUGCGACCUCGAUGUUGGAUCAGGUUUACCUAGAGGUGCAGCAGCUUCUAAGGGUUGGUUUGUUCAACCAUAAAAAACUU